Non-coding RNA from Schistosoma haematobium, 45 nucleotides. The record is from Rfam. NCBI's taxonomy places the organism in Eukaryota, Metazoa, Platyhelminthes, Trematoda, Strigeidida, Schistosomatidae.
AUAUAACUGACGAGUCCCUAAUAGGACGAAACACGCAUCCUAGAU